Long non-coding RNA from Eriocheir sinensis (Chinese mitten crab), 5071 nucleotides. RefSeq lists it as uncharacterized. The record is from RefSeq and is a predicted model, not a curated record. Lineage: Eukaryota; Metazoa; Arthropoda; Malacostraca; Decapoda; Varunidae. The transcript has 2 exons.
ACCAGUCUCCUCUUGUCACUCCGUUCGUUAAGAUGGACCUAAAAAACACACAAACAAAAAGUGCAAGAUCUUAAGACAAAGUGGGAAAUAACGUGUAGUACUUAAAUAGCCCUGAAGAUAAGUAAAAGAAAAGUAUUAAAAGGAAAACAGUGAUGUAAAAAAGUCGACAAAUAACGAAAAGUAUAACUGUAGAUUAGUGAAGGAAAAUAAUGGAAAACAAAGACAUCAAAUAGUGAAUUCCGGAAUGUUAUGUGAUGUGAUUUUAUGUGAUAUUAUGUUGUGUGAUGUGAAGGUGUGUCUUUUCCGUGUGAUGUGAGACGUGUGACGGAACGAAACCGAGCCGAGUGACGUAACAUUAACGGCGGCAGUGAUAGCGUAGAUAGCGGUUCCCUGCAUGCAACGGGACACCCAAACGGUCCCAGCGGAACACACGGGACACAGCGGAACCCAAGUAACGGGAACAUACGGCGAAUCGUAACCAACAGGACCCUAAACAAACACACAUCAACAGGACCCGAAGUACCAUAAAAAUAGAUCUAGAUACUCACGAGGCGAAGUAACAGGAGCAGUGGGUCAAGUAACAGACGCUGGUGCGGACGAAGAUCAAGAGAAACAUGAAGUGACAGGAUAAGAAAGUAAAGUAACAGGAGCUGAAACGUACAAAACAUUACAGAACGAAAGGACAAAGUAACGCAAGGAUUGUUAGGUCUAGCAGAAGCAGGAACGGAAGCAAAUCAACCGGAACUAAAGUAGGAGGAAGAAAGCAGUAGCAGAAGUGACAAGCAGGAACAUACAUGAGACUAACAACACUAGUGACAGCGUUAGUAACAGUAAGAGUAAUAAAACACAGAUCGAUCAACAGGAACCAAAGUAACAACGGUAACAACAUCAGUAGUAACAGUAACAGAAACAUCCAUACAACAUCUAAAACCCAGGUAACAGUGGUAGUAGAAACAGCAGCAACGGAAGCAAUAUGUAGUAAAAACAGUCACUUAAAAUCGCUGUGGAAUACAAAAAGGGUCCUCGUAAGAAGUAUUAGAAGAAGACAAAAGACUCAAGAGGUGUGUUAUGGGAAAGCAGGAGCCAAGUAGCGAGCGUAAUAGCAUCAGCAGCAGGAGGACGUUGACUCGGCAUGGACCAGAGAACCCUCGCAGAGCCUUAUAAAGCAGGAGACGCAAACAGAAAGAGGAGUAACAAUAAUAAUAAUAAUAGUGGAAAGGGAUAGAUAACACGAGAAGAGAGAAAGCAACACCGUAAUAAUAGGAAAGAAGUAACGGAAGAAAAGAAAACAUUAAUGACGUCAAAAGUAACAGUAAAAGAAGGAAAGAAGUAACAGAGGAAAGAGAAAAAUUUCGAUGACAACAUAAAGUAACACAUAAAAGUAGGAAUAUUUAGAGAAACGUUAAGAAGCAACGACGAACUGACAAACAAAGAAACGCCUGCAAUCAGAAAAAAGAAAAGCAAGUUAAGAAUAAAUAAGAAGAAAGAGAAGAAGAAAAGAAAGAAGGAAAGAAAACAGGAAGUAAGAGGAGAAGGGAAGAAAAUAAAGACAGAUAAGAAAAGAAUAAGAGUAGUAAUACUAGAAAAAAAAGUAGAAGAAGAAAAGGAAGAGGAAGAAGAAGAAGAAAAAGGAAAGCAAGUAAAGAAUAAAUAAUAAGAAAGAGUAGAAGAAAAGAAAGAAGGAAAGAAAACAGGAAGUAAGAGGAGAAGAGAAGAAAAGAAAGACAGAUAAGAAAAGAAUAAGAAGUAGAAGAAGUAGGAGAAGAAAAGGAAGAGGAGGAAGAAGAAGUUAAUCAAGAAAAAAGAAGAAAAUAAUAAGUAAAGAAACAGAAAAAGAAGAAAAAGGUCUAGUGACAGAGAGACACCCACCCAGACUCACCAGCACCAACCAACCCAGACGACGACGAAGAGGAACCAGCAGUAGGAGGAGAGAAGAAAAGGAAGAAGAAGCACCAGAAACAGAAGCAAGCCCAACAGCGCCGCAUAAGAGCCGGGAGUGUGUCGAGGGAAGUGCGCGGACCAGACCAAACAUCGUCCCCUUCUGCGCCACGUGUUGAACUUAGCGUCUCUUGUAAACUGUGAAUCCGAUACUCUAUUCAAAUACUACCCACCCCUCACGCCUCUUCCAUCACCUCCCAUCCCUCUCCUCCUCCUCCUCCUCCUCCUCCUCCUAUCCUCCUUCUCUUUCUCUUGUCUUCUCCUCUUCCUGUUGCGUUCUCUCCUUUCUUCCUCUUUCUCUGCUUCCUCAAUCUUUAUUUCUUGUUUCCCGUUUAGUUUGUCUUCUUCCUUUUCCUCCAUUCUUCCUCUGUUUCCUUUUCUUCUUCCUUUCCCUUUAAUUCUUCCUUCCUGUUUAGUUUGUCUUCCUUCUAAUUCUUCCUUCUGUUCCUUUUAUCUUCUUCCUUUUCGUAAAUUCCUUCAUCUUUUAUUCUUCUUUCCGUUUACUUUUUCUUUUCCCAGCUUCCUCUACUUCUAAUUUUUCCUUUCUUUUCUUAGCUUCUUUCACUUCUAAAUCUUUUUAACGUAUAUUUUGUCUUUUUCCUUUUCCUAGAUUCCUCAACCUCAAGUUCACUCUCCUUUUACUUUCCCUUUUUCCUUUUCCUAGUUUCGUCCUGUUUUCUUUGUCCUUUUCCUUUUCUUUCCAUCUCUUUUACCGUCUGUGCUGUUCCUUUAUCUCCUCCAUCUCUUCGCCCUCCUUCCCAAAGUAUCUCAUUCUCCUCCAUCUCUUCUUCCUGUCUCCACACCUUUAUCUCUUUCCUUCCUUCUCUAGCAUCUCCUCUCCUUACCUCCUUGACCUUUACAUCCUCCCUCUCCCUCUCCUCCUUCUGCUCUUCCUGCCACCACUGCACCUCCAUCUCCUUCAUCAUCUCCCCUUCUUCCUGCAUCCCCCAGCAUCCGUAUCCCACACACACCUUCACCUUCCGGCCCACCUGCUCACCUGUGCUCUUAACCUUUACCUGGAGGCCUUCGUGUUGGAAUCUCUGUCCAGCGCGAGCCAGCUUCUGUGUCCUUGUGGCGCGGACGUGAGGUGGAGCUAGGGAAAAAAAGUAACAAAGGUUGGGAGAGAAGAGAGUCAGACACGCGAGGUAGACGAACAGACAGACAGACGGACGAAGAGGGUGAGGAUUUCGGACCACAGCAUCAAGGAAGCUUAAGAAAAAAAGGUAGACAGGUAAUAAGAGAAGGAAGAGAGACGCUAAGAAGAGCAAAAGAAGAGACAGACACGCGAGGUAGACAGACAGACAGACGGACAGAAUCUUAGGUGAGGAUUACGGACUGCAUCAUCAAGGACGGUUAGAUAAGAAGAUAGACGGAAUAAGAAGAGAGGGUAGACAGACAAAGGAAGAGAAAUAGAAGGAAUAACUGACACAAGAUACGGAGAAGAAACGCAGAUGAGGAUUAUAAACUCCAGUAUCAAGGAAGAUUAGAGAAAAAGAUAACUGAACAAGAAGAAAAGGGGGAAAACAGACGCAAGAAAGAGCAGAAAAGAGAGAAACAGACACACGAAAUAGAAAGAAGAAACGCUGCAGGGAAUACGAAACGCAACAUUAAGAAAGCAUUAAGGAAAAGAAAGCGACUGAGGUAGAAAAGAACAAGAAGAAAAGGGAGAGUUAGAGAAGAGAGACACACGCAAAGCAGAAAAAAAGAAGAAACACACCUGGGAAUAAGAAACGCAACAUUAUGAAACUGUAAGAAAGAAAGAUAGAGAACCAGGAGGGAAAACACAAAACAAAAACAAGGAGAUAAGAAAAAACAAACACAAGUAAAGCAAGAAAAAGACAAACUCGCGAGAAACAGCAAGAGAUAAUUACUCAACAUAAGAUCAAGGGAAUUUAGAGCAGAAUCGAGUCUCCCUCCCGCUUUUUCUUCCCGCUGAGAGCAAGAAAAAGCGAGUGAGAGCGAGCACAGCAGACGCCCAGCAGAGGAGCAGCAGUAGGAUAUCAGCAGGACCGGGGAAAGAUUAGCAGGAUGAGGCAACAAUUGAGAUAGUGUAGCCCAGCAUCCUCAUCCUUCCAGCAUCCCUCCCUCCUUUUCCUCCUCCUUCUCCUCCUCCUCCUCCUUAUGAAGUCGUAGGAGAGGCACGGAGACAAGGACACGUUCAAGGCUACUAGAGUCCUACUAAAAGAAUCCUACACUGUAAAAAGCGAGGAAAAAGACGUUGAAAAAGGAAUUUGAGAGAGAGAGAGAGAGUUUUAAUACGAAGGUGAAAAUAGAAGCCUGUACCGACCAAAUACCGCUAUCUUUGUGUGUGUGUGUGUGCGUGUGUGUGUGUGUGUGUGUGUGUGUGUGUGGCCGGAGAGGUGAACAGACCACUUGAGUGAAUCGAUUCGAAGCACGUGAACCGGAGUGGCAUUGAUCGGCCCAAAAACCCAAGAGAAGGAGGAAAAAAAAGAAGAAAAAAAAGGUUGAAGAAACGAGAGAGAAAAAAAGGUUCGGAAAAUAAACUCGAUAAAGGAAGAAAACUCGAAGGAAGAAAAGUGUACCGCGAACAAAGGGAGUUUUUUUUCCUUUGUUCGCUUCACCGUUGAGGAAAUAGAGAUAGGAAAUAAAUUAUAAAGAGAAGAACAGAUUAAAGAAUAGCAUUGCAUAGGGAAGAAAAGGUGAUAACAGAGGAAGUAUAUGGAAAAGGCCGCGAAGAAGGAAGAAAGGAAAUAGGGAGAAUAGGGACGGAAAGGUGUUAACGAAGAGGACUUAAAAGCGAAAUACAACUAAGACUAAAUAAAGAAAAUAAUUAAAUAUAGAGGGAAAGAAAGUGUUAACGGAAAGGAAGGAAGAUAGUGCAUGGGGAAAAAAGUGAAUUACGAUGAAAAUAAGUGGAAAAUAGAGUGAUAAAGGAAGUGAACUAUUAAAAAAAGAGAAGAAAAGAGGAAUGAAUAAAUUAGAAGUUGGUGAAAAAUUGUGCAAAGAAACCUGAAAAAAAGCGAGAAGAGAAAAUAGACAGAAAAUUAGAAAAGAGAAAAUAGAAGAAAAUUAGCAUAGCGUCACAAGAAAAGAAGUACAAUAGAAAAAAACAAACAAAAGAAAACAAAGUAGAAAAUUAAUAAUCAUAAGCUAAAAAAAAGAUAAAAAAGUA